CCUACGGGUGGCAGCAGUGGGGAAUAUUGGACAAUGGGGGCAACCCUGAUCCAGCCAUGCCGCGUGUGUGAAGAAGGCCCUCGGGUUGUAAAGCACUUUCAGUGAGGAAGAACGCCUGGUGGUUAAUACCCAUCAGGAAAGACAUCACUCACAGAAGAAGCACCGGCUAACUCCGUGCCAGCAGCCGCGGUAAUACGGAGGGUGCGAGCGUUAAUCGGAAUUACUGGGCGUAAAGCGCGCGUAGGUGGCUUGAUAAGCCGGUUGUGAAAGCCCCGGGCUCAACCUGGGAACGGCAUCCGGAACUGUCAAGCUAGAGUGCAGGAGAGGAAGGUAGAAUUCCCGGUGUAGCGGUGAAAUGCGUAGAGAUCGGGAGGAAUACCAGUGGCGAAGGCGGCCUUCUGGACUGACACUGACACUGAGGUGCGAAAGCGUGGGUAGCAAACAGGAUUAGAUACCUCUGUAGUC
RNAcentral lists this ribosomal RNA (465 nucleotides) under Vreelandella stevensii. RNAcentral's name for it is "partial 16S ribosomal RNA". It matches the Rfam family "Bacterial small subunit ribosomal RNA", at positions 338 to 795 of the family's 1533-position model. Lineage: Bacteria; Pseudomonadati; Pseudomonadota; Gammaproteobacteria; Oceanospirillales; Halomonadaceae. The record is from RNAcentral.